Molecule: long non-coding RNA, 1857 nt
Filed under: Zonotrichia albicollis (white-throated sparrow)
Lineage: Eukaryota; Metazoa; Chordata; Aves; Passeriformes; Passerellidae
Description: lncRNA (ENSZALG00000001347.1)
Source: RNAcentral
GGAACUGCCCUGGGCAUGGGAGACCACGAGGAAAAGGGAGGAAAAGGGAGCUGGGUCCAGCUGUGCCUCUGCAGCCACCCCUUAAUUAAUGAGCUAAUUAAGCAUGCUCACACAGAACCACUAAGGUUGGACAAAACCUUUAAAGCCACCAAAUCCAACCACUGCCACAUCACCCUCGUGUCCCCAAGUGCCACCCGACCCAGGACACACAGGAGCUCUGAGCUUCACCAUUGAACAACGCUUUGUUUUUUUUUUAGUUUUUUCCUUUUUUAAAGAAUUCCCAUGAGGGGAGGGGGGUCGGGGUCAGUAGUGUGAGUGCAGUGGGGGGGUGGCCGUGUCCCCAGGCUGUCCCCAGGUCACUGCAUGUAGGCGUAGCGCCAGUCCCCCAGCGGCACGUGCGUCUCCUUGAUGGCCUGGGGGGACGUCCAGCGCAGCAGGUAAUGGGGACCCCCGGGCUUGUCAUUGGUGCCUGUGGGGACACACAGGGGUGGUGACACCAGGGGGGUGGCAGGGACAUGGAGGGACACAGAGGGAUGGGAGCACAUGGAGGGACAAGGGGCACAAGAGGGACAUGGACAGGAGAUACAGGAGGGACACAGAGGGAACACGAGGGACAUGGAGGGAUGGGAGGGACACAAAGGAUGGGGACACAGAAGGACAUAGGGCACAGGAGGGACAGGGAGAGAUGGGAGGGACACAGGGACAGGAGAUACAGGAGGGACAUGGAGGGACACAAGGGACAUGGAGGGACAAGGAGGAUGGGGACAUGGAGGGACGCAGGGCAGAAGAGGGACAGGAGGGACAUAGAGGGAACAGGAGGUACAGGAGGGACAUGGAGGGACACAGAGGGAUGGGAAGGACACAGAGGGACACGAAGGGAUGGGGACAUGGAAUGACAGGAGGGACCUGGAGGGACACAGAGGGACACGGAGGAAUAGAAGGGACAUGGGGUACAGAAGGGACAAAGAGGAACAGGGAGGGAUGGGAGGGACACAGGGACAGGAGGUACAGGAGGGACACAGAGGGACAGGAGGGACAUACAGGGAACAGGAGGAACAGGGAGGGAUGGGAGAGACACAGAAAGACAGGAGGGACAGGAGGGACAUGGAGGGACACAGAAGGAUGGGGACAUGGAGGGCCAUGGGGUACAGAAGGUACACAGGGACAGGAGGGACACAGAGAACAAGGGGUACAGAGCACAAGAGGGAUACAGAGAGAUGGGAGGGACAUGGAAGGAUGGGAAGGACACAGAGGGACAUGGGGGACACGGAGGGAUGGGAGGGACACCAACACAGAGGAGGGGGACAUGGAGGGACAUGGAGGAUGGGAGGGACACAGAAGGACAAGAAGCACAGGAGGAACAUAGAGGGACGGGUAGGACACUGAGGGACAUGGAGGAUGGAAGGGACACAAGACACAAGGAAUGGGAGAGACAUGGAGGGAAGGGAAGGACACAGAGAACAGGAGUGAAAUGGAAGGACAAGGAGGGGCAGGAGGGAUGCACAGGGACAGAGGGGAUACAGAGGCAUAUGGAGGACAGGGAGGACAUGGAGGGACACAGGGAUGGGAGUGACACAGAACAGGGACAUGGAAGGACAAGGAGGGACAUGGAAGGACAUGGAGGAUGGCAGGGACAGGAGAGACACAGGGGACAGAAGGGACAUGGAGGGACAGGGAGGAUGGGGACAAGGAAGGACAUGGAGGGGCAGGAGGACACGAGACACAGAGAUCAGGAGGGACACAGGAGGGCCACAGGGGGGCUGUCCAGCCCCGCUGGUGUCACCUGAGAUGCGGGCUCCCCCGAAGGGCUGCUGGGCCACCACGGCCCCCGUGGAUUUGUCGUUGAUGUAGACGUUG